This 253-nucleotide ribosomal RNA is filed under the name uncultured bacterium. RNAcentral describes it as "partial 16S ribosomal RNA". It matches the Rfam family "Bacterial small subunit ribosomal RNA", at positions 524 to 776 of the family's 1533-position model. The record is from RNAcentral.
UACAGAGGAGCCAAGCGUUGUCCGGAUUGACUGGGCGUAAAGCGCACGCAGGCGGAUGCGCGCGUGGGGUGUGAAAUCUGGCCGCUUAACGGCCAGGCGCCAUCCCAUACGGCGCGUCUGGAGUGAUGCAGAGGUCGGUGGAAUUGCCGGUGUAGUGGUGAAAUGCGUAGAGAUCGGCAGGAACACCCAGGUGGAAACCAGCCGACUGGGCAUCUACUGACGCUGAGGUGCGAGAGCGUGGGGAGCGAACCGG